AUUGAAUUAUGAUUUGGAUUGUUGAAAAUUGUGUUUUUUUUCAUUUCAUAUGAUUUUGGAAUUUUUAGUUUAGCGUAGAUAUCGGAUGAGGACAUAUGUUGUGAACCUGUUAAAUCAUAUGUUAAUAUUGAUGAACUUAAUUUACUUUCUAUGAUUAUUUCAGUAGGGUGUGUGUAAUUUAUAUUGUUAAAUUGGUUUUUUUUUUUUAAAUGAAAACUGUAAAAUUAUUAAGUUAAUAAAAUUAUUUUUUUAAUUAAAAAAUUUAAAAACGGUUCGGUUUGGUUUUGUGCGAUUUUUAAAAAUCAAAACAUAAACCAAACCAUUUUGAAAUGGUUUGGUUCGGUUUGACGGAAAAAGAAACCACGGGUCCACGUGGAUCCAAAACAACGAUUUUAACUCAACGUUUUCGGUUCGGUUUGCGAUUGUACGGUUUUUUUGCGCGGCCCUAGCUAAAACUUGUACAAAGUUCUUUAGGAAUUGUAGAGAAGUAUUGGCCAAAGAAUGCAAUUAAUAAAGGUAAUUUGUUUUCCAUCCUUGAAGGGGAUUAGUUCAGACUUGAUUAUUAUUUUCAUAUUUAACGGACAUUAGGUUUUACUUUUAUCAUGACAAGCAAGUUGCUGUUCAUAAAUUCAGCUGCCUGUCGUCUGUUGAGCUUUAAGCGAACGAAAAUGCUUAUUUGAGCUUUUAAGACUUGGUACAAUAUUGAAGGGCCGUUCGGCAGGCUUUUGAAAAGUUUUUUUCUAAGACUAAGAAGUUGUUUAUGAAUUUGUUCAGGUCUUUUCUUGAAUUGUUUUGUCUAACUAUAAGAGUUUUUAGAAAAAAAAAAUUGAUAUAAGAUAAUUUUGUUAAAAAACUCUUCUACUGAAAGCAGAAACCCGACCAAUUAGACCCUUAGUCUUUAUGUUACGUCUUAAAAGUUUAACAUUUUAAGAGAAGUAAAACUUUAUUGUUAUUAUUUUCAUAUUUAAAGGACAUGAAAAUUUAACAAAUUCAACGUACCAAUAUGUUUUCAUAAUUCUAAUAUGAUUUUUUUUCUUAUGAAACUACAAGAAGAGUGAGUGUCAAAUUGAAGGGUAGUUGAAGAAGAAGACAAAAUUGCAAAUGUCAUUCUCAAU
Molecule: long non-coding RNA, 1115 nt
Filed under: Olea europaea subsp. europaea
Lineage: Eukaryota; Viridiplantae; Streptophyta; Magnoliopsida; Lamiales; Oleaceae
Source: RNAcentral